GCGUUCUGUCAGACUAGUUGAUUGUUGAAGAAAAAGUUCACGGACCUCUUUUUUAAAAAAAGGGGGAGAGAAGAAUAACAAUAGCCACAACAAGGCGACAAGGUUGUUGUCUUUCUGUUUUGUUUUCCCCAGUCACCGUGUCAAAGUAAAAUUCCCCCCAAUUCGUUAUGCUCCACCAGCGGUCACAAAAAGGAAAAGAAGUAGCAAUUUAAAAAACCAGCGGCGAACAUAACGGACCUAUUGAUGAAACAAACGAGAAAUGAUGACGCUGAACACAUUCGUCCGUCACGGAUAGCACCUAGAGCCAGAGCUCGCAACGGUCGUCCGGCAGUUCCGCCUUCAAUAAACGGAUGUAGGGCUAUGGAGUUGUUCAGUUUCCGCCGGAAUCGACUCGUCUCCGUGUCAGCGGAAAGCGGAGACAUUAAUAGGCGUCCUUGGGACUUGGGGCGAGCAAAUAGAAGAUGAAAGUCGACAAAAUGGGAAGGUUCAGUAUGCACCAGAGCACAGGGAGCCCCCGCCGAAAUCAACUGUCGCUUUUCAUUUCCCAGGUGCGGAAGUGAUCCGUAACGAGGAGCGACACCUUUUUCCACCGUCCAAUCAGAUAUCGGAGCAUUCAAUCAUCGAAAUAUCACCCGAAAAUGAUUGAAUUCAAACGCGUUCGUUGACUCUCUGGUCAAAAAAAAAAAAGAAACUCAAU
This is a long non-coding RNA of Daphnia pulex (common water flea), 697 nucleotides long. RefSeq lists it as uncharacterized. Lineage: Eukaryota; Metazoa; Arthropoda; Branchiopoda; Diplostraca; Daphniidae. The record is from RefSeq and is a predicted model, not a curated record. The transcript is spliced from 4 exons.